This 462-nucleotide ribosomal RNA is filed under the name uncultured Streptococcus sp. Its description in RNAcentral is "bacterial SSU rRNA". It matches the Rfam family "Bacterial small subunit ribosomal RNA", at positions 920 to 1382 of the family's 1533-position model. The record is from RNAcentral. Lineage: Bacteria; Bacillati; Bacillota; Bacilli; Lactobacillales; Streptococcaceae.
CCCGCACACGCGGUGGAGCAUGUGGUUUAAUUCGAAGCAACGCGAAGAACCUUACCAGGUCUUGACAUCCCCUGACAACCCGAGAGAUCGGGCGUUCCCCUUCGGGGGACAGGGUGACAGGUGGUGCAUGGUUGUCGUCAGCUCGUGUCGUGAGAUGUUGGGUUAAGUCCCGCAACGAGCGCAACCCCUAUUGUUAGUUGCCAUCAUUCAGUUGGGCACUCUAGCGAGACUGCCGGUAAUAAACCGGAGGAAGUGGGGAUGACGUCAAAUCAUCAUGCCCCUUAUGACCUGGGCUACACACGUGCUACAAUGGUUGGUACAACGAGUUGCGAGUCGGUGACGGCGAGCUAAUCUCUUAAAGCCAAUCUCAGUUCGGAUUGUAGGCUGCAACUCGCCUACAUGAAGUCGGAAUCGCUAGUAAUCGCGGAUCAGCACGCCGCGGUGAAUACGUUCCCGGGCCUU